AUGCAAUCGCACGAGAAAGGGGAGCAAUCCCUGAGUAAAGUGGCGCACGGGUGAGUAACACGUGAAUUAUCUACCUCCGAGUGGGGAAUAACUGAGAGAAAUCUUAGCUAAUACCGCAUAACACUUACGAGUCAAAGCAGCAAUGCGCUUGGAGAGGAGUUCGCGGCCGAUUAGUUAGUUGGCGGGGUAAUGGCCCACCAAGACGAUGAUCGGUAUCCGGCCUGAGAGGGCGCACGGACACACUGGAACUGAAACACGGUCCAGACUCCUACGGGAGGCAGCAGUGGGGAAUUUUGCGCAAUGGGGGAAACCCUGACGCAGCAACGCCGCGUGGAGGAUGAAAUAUCUUGGUAUGUAAACUCCUUUCGAUGGGGAAGAUUAUGACGGUACCCAUAGAAGAAGCCCCGGCUAACUUCGUGCCAGCAGCCGCGGUAAUACGAGGGGGGCAAGCGUUGUUCGGAUUUAUUGGGCGUAAAGGGUGCGUAGGCGGUUUGGCAAGUCUGAUGUGAAAUCUAUGGGCUCAACCCAUAGUCUGCAUCAGAAACUGCCGGGCUUGAGUAUGGGAGAGGUGAGUGGAAUU
RNAcentral lists this ribosomal RNA (580 nucleotides) under uncultured soil bacterium. RNAcentral's name for it is "bacterial SSU rRNA". It matches the Rfam family "Bacterial small subunit ribosomal RNA", at positions 55 to 668 of the family's 1533-position model. The record is from RNAcentral.